UGGGGAAUAUUGCACAAUGGGCGCAAGCCUGAUGCAGCCAUGCCGCGUGUAUGAAGAAGGCCUUCGGGUUGUAAAGUACUUUCAGCGGGGAGGAAGGCGAUAAGGUUAAUAACCUUGUCGAUUGACGUUACCCGCAGAAGAAGCACCGGCUAACUCCGUGCCAGCAGCCGCGGUAAUACGGAGGGGGCAAGCGUUAAUCGGACUUACUGGGCGUAAAGCGCACGCAGGCGGUCUGUCAAGUCGGAUGUGAAAUCCCCGGGCUCAACCUGGGAACUGCAUUCGAAACUGGCAGGCUAGAGUCUUGUAGAGGGGGGUAGAAUUCCAGGUGUAGCGGUGAAAUGCGUAGAGAUCUGGAGGAAUACCGGUGGCGAAGGCGGCCCCCUGGACAAAGACUGACGCUCAGGUGCGAAAGCGUGGGGAGCAAACA
Molecule: ribosomal RNA, 427 nt
Filed under: uncultured bacterium
Lineage: Bacteria
Description: partial 16S ribosomal RNA
Rfam family: Bacterial small subunit ribosomal RNA
Source: RNAcentral